AGAGUUUGAUCCUGGCUCAGAACGAACGCUGGCGGCGUGGAUAAGACAUGCGAGUCGAACGGGGCAAUGUGGUAGUAAUAUCAUGUUGUUCAGUGGCGAACGGGUGCGUAACACGUGGAUACAUUCCGGGAAGCGGGGGAUAGCCCAGGGAAACUUGGAUUAAUACCGCAUGUGGUCGAGAGACUAAAGACGGGGAUCGAAAGACCUGUCACUUCCUGAUUGGUCCGCGGCCUAUCAGCUAGUUGGUGAGGUAAAGGCUCACCAAGGCGACGACGGGUA
RNAcentral lists this ribosomal RNA (279 nucleotides) under uncultured Prosthecobacter sp. RNAcentral describes it as "partial 16S ribosomal RNA". It matches the Rfam family "Bacterial small subunit ribosomal RNA", at positions 8 to 285 of the family's 1533-position model. Lineage: Bacteria; Pseudomonadati; Verrucomicrobiota; Verrucomicrobiia; Verrucomicrobiales; Verrucomicrobiaceae. The record is from RNAcentral.